This 100-nucleotide non-coding RNA is filed under the name Clostridium ihumii. Its description in RNAcentral is "SAM riboswitch (S box leader)". It matches the Rfam family "SAM riboswitch aptamer (S box leader)". From Rfam's summary of the family: The SAM riboswitch is found upstream of a number of genes which code for proteins involved in methionine or cysteine biosynthesis in Gram-positive bacteria. The SAM riboswitch acts at the level of transcription termination control. The record is from RNAcentral. Lineage: Bacteria; Bacillati; Bacillota; Clostridia; Eubacteriales; Clostridiaceae.
UCUUAUCAAGAGAGGUGGAGGGAAAAAGGCCCUAUGAAACCCGGCAACCGGUGCUAAGCACUAAGGUGCCAAUUCCUGCAGAGUUUUCUGCAAGAUAAGA